GCACCAGCUGUGGAGAAGUGAGGAAGAGACAGAGGACGAUGGAGGGACGUAAUCAGGAAGGGCGAGAUUAAAGGAUUCAGGCUGGGGGCGUGAGGGAGCGAGUGCGAGCAAGCGAGCGGGAGUGGGUGUUUCGGAAGUGACAUCUCUUGGGCAGUAACCUUGUUUCCUGUGUGGUGGAGUUGGGGGCGGAUUCAAGGCGCUAGCAGCGCAGCAACAGUGACGCCGUGUGGACGCUUUGGGUGAGCAAUGGGGAACCCGGGACGUGCCGCGCGAGGGCUGGGUGAAUGAUCUAAUAGCUGGUUGCUAAAUUUGUAUGUCAGGUGUUUAAACUUAAGAAGUAGGAAUGGAACCAAGAAGUGGGCCAUCACAGACUGAAAUCUGACCACCCACCUGGCCACCUCCCACAAACAAUUGUGAAGCCAGUUGGGAGCCUCUGCACAUACUCAUACAACUAA
Oreochromis aureus is the source of this 455-nucleotide long non-coding RNA. The record is from Ensembl. NCBI's taxonomy places the organism in Eukaryota, Metazoa, Chordata, Actinopteri, Cichliformes, Cichlidae.